UGGGGAAUAUUGCACAAUGGGCGCAAGCCUGAUGCAGCCAUGCCGCGUGUAUGAAGAAGGCCUUCGGGUUGUAAAGUACUUUCAGCGAGGAGGAAGGCGGUAAGGUUAAUAACCUUAUCGAUUGACGUUACUCGCAGAAGAAGCACCGGCUAACUCCGUGCCAGCAGCCGCGGUAAUACGGAGGGUGCAAGCGUUAAUCGGAAUUACUGGGCGUAAAGCGCACGCAGGCGGUCUGUCAGGUCGGAUGUGAAAUCCCCGGGCUCAACCUGGGAACUGCAUUCGAAACUGGCAGGCUAGAGUCUUGUAGAGGGGGGUAGAAUUCCAGGUGUAGCGGUGAAAUGCGUAGAGAUCUGGAGGAAUACCGGUGGCGAAGGCGGCCCCCUGGACAAAGACUGACGCUCAGGUGCGAAAGCGUGGGGAGCAAACA
RNAcentral lists this ribosomal RNA (427 nucleotides) under uncultured bacterium. RNAcentral describes it as "partial 16S ribosomal RNA". It matches the Rfam family "Bacterial small subunit ribosomal RNA", at positions 355 to 774 of the family's 1533-position model. The record is from RNAcentral.